This 465-nucleotide ribosomal RNA is filed under the name uncultured bacterium. RNAcentral's name for it is "partial 16S ribosomal RNA". It matches the Rfam family "Bacterial small subunit ribosomal RNA", at positions 339 to 795 of the family's 1533-position model. The record is from RNAcentral.
CUACGGGGCGCUGCAGUGGGGAAUAUUGCGCAAUGGGGGAAACCCUGACGCAGCAACGCCGCGUGGGUGAAGAAGGCCUUCGGGUUGUAAAGCCCUGUCAGGAGGGAAGAAUAAGAAGUCGGUUAAUACCCGGUUUCUCUGACGGUACCUCCAAAGGAAGCGCCGGCUAACUCCGUGCCAGCAGCCGCGGUAAUACGGAGGUCGCGAGCGUUGUUCGGAAUUAUUGGGCGUAAAGCGUGUGUAGGCGGCUUGGCAAGUUGGAUGUGAAAGCCCUUGGCUCAACCAAGGAAUUGCAUUCAAAACUGCUAAGCUUGAGUGCGGGAGAGGGAAGCAGAACUCCUAGUGUAGAGGUGAAAUUCGUAGAUAUUAGGAGGAAUACCCGUGGCGAAGGCGGCUUCCUGGACCGACACUGACGCUGAGACACGAAAGCGUGGGGAGCAAACAGGAUUAGAUACCCGCAUAGUC